Long non-coding RNA from Asparagus officinalis (garden asparagus), 1303 nucleotides. RefSeq lists it as uncharacterized. The transcript is spliced from 7 exons. Lineage: Eukaryota; Viridiplantae; Streptophyta; Magnoliopsida; Asparagales; Asparagaceae. The record is from RefSeq and is a predicted model, not a curated record.
AAAAAAAAAAAAAAAAAUCAGAUAACCUUCUUCAUUUAUGUCAAGAGGUGGGAGCUCGAGUCAUCAUCAUCACUUGAUGUUGCUGAAAGCUGAACUGAUCCCUAUGAGAACAGCUGCUUGUUCAAUGCCUUACCUAUAAUGUCCCAUAUCAAUCAUAUCUUACUGAAAAUGUAUAUAUAAAAUACUUGUAUUGGAAAAUUUCUUCAUAUAUAAGAUAUUUGUAUCGGUUUCUACAUCCUUGAUGCGCCUCUGAGAUUAUUAGUACAUAAAAGGGUAAGACAAUUUUAAAGUCAGCGAUUGUACUGGGCAUAAUUCUUCAUCAACCAUAUCCCAGUUGCCAUUUCUGUUUACACCCGUCUAUUUUAUCCCUUGAAACCUUAAUUUCUAAUAAUGACUCCCAUGCAUUCUGAGGUGGCUGAGGCAGCUAGGAGGCGGCUAGAGGCGGCUGAGCUGCAGGCUAGGAUUUAUAGGGGGUGGCUGUUUUCGAGCCCAGCUCCAUUAAAAAAAAGAGGGCUCUAUGUAUAAUAAAAGCAGGUCGUUGCGUGGAAGCUCGGACUCGAAGAUGCACAGCCCGAACUGACGGUGGUUACGAAGGAUAACAGAUGGAUUAAGCUUUUGAAACCGAGGAAGAGCUAUGAAGCAUCCAUUAGAACCUUUUUGAUCACUGUCCAGUUGCUUCAUUUUCUGAGGAGGGAACCCAAGUCGUCGGAGGAGAGCCUUCGGGAUCACUUGGGAAAAAAAAUUACAGUUCGUUUGACGAUCGGCCUUCUGUCAAUGACCUCCUAGAUCAUUAUCCAGAAAUUAAGCUGCUUUGUAGAGUGGGAUGCUGCAUUGGCAAAAUCUCAGGACAAACUAAAAGUUUAUCUUGCACCUUUCCUUCAUGGAAGGCACUACACAUCGUUUGGCCGUCAUUUCACAGAAGUUGAUAAGCUCAAGGAGAUUGUAGAUAGGCUUCAAUGGUAUGUGAAAGAUGGUGAUACAAUUGUUGAUUUCUGCUGCGGCGCUAAUGAUUUCAGCCAAUUAAUGAAAGAAAAGCUUGAUAUGCAACAGGAAAUAAAUGUUCAUUUAAAAAUUAUGACAUCAUUCAACCGAAGGUGCAUUCUUAUAGAAAACUGAAAAUGACUGGAUCAAAUUGUUGAAUUUUGAAAGGCAAAUUUUUAGAUUUUAGGUGUUUCGCUGCAUUACUAUGUAGUUACCACACAAGAAAGCGAUGAGUCUAUUCUUAAAUUUUAUUUUCUUAAUUGUGUACAAAUUGUUUAGAGGCCUAUAUAGUUUUUAGAUUGAUUAACAGGGUCUUUGGAUA